AAGCCUUCCUGUGUGUCAAGUAACAACGUUUCACGAUUUUGAGUAUCCAUUGGGCGAGAGUCUGUGUUCCACAGAGGAUCAAGAGUGAUGAGCAGAUGUCUGUGUCAGAGCAUACCCAGGAGAAGUCCCAACUCAACUCAACAUACAGCCUGCUUCAAUUAAGCAUUUCAGCUCCUGAAAAAGGGAGUAAUGGAAAAUCGAGUCUGUCUUGG
Molecule: non-coding RNA, 212 nt
Organism: Procambarus clarkii (red swamp crayfish)
Lineage: Eukaryota; Metazoa; Arthropoda; Malacostraca; Decapoda; Cambaridae
Source: RefSeq, a predicted model, not a curated record